AGUGAGUCAGCAGCACAGCUCCUCCAGCACGCAGAGAACAGCGGUCCAUGGAGGGAGGGCGUGAGCCUGGGGUUUUACUGAGGAAGGAUGUAAGUCUGGGUUUAACUAAGAGAGGGCGUGAGCCUGGGCUUCGCUGAGGGAGGGCAUGAGCCUGGGGUUCCCUGAGGGAGGGUAUGAGCCUGGGGUUCCCUGAGGGAGGGCCUGAGCCUGGGCUUCACUGAGGGAGGGCGUGAGCCUGGGGUUAUACUGAGGAAGGAUAGUGGGUUUUUCAGUCCCUGAAGCUGCUGCUCUGCCCACUCAGGAAGGUGAGGAAGGCAGACGACAGCGUACAUCCAGCCUCUGCUCUGCCAGGGUCGUUGAUGCCCUUUGGAAUGGAGAGCUGUGAAGGGGAAUGCCUAGGCCUCACAGAGGAGGCUCGUGACCCGGACAGGUGUGGGACUAGGGGCCAUGUCUGUAGCUCCCCUGCCACGGAGCAGAAUCUGCCUCUCCAUAAGCGUUAAGCUCUGGGGACUGUGACAUCCACGCUGGGCCUGGCUCCUGCCUUCCGCCUCCUGCCCAGCCCCUGCCAGCAGCACAUGGUGGAGACCGGUUGCCCAAAGCUCUUGUUCUCAGAUGUGGGCAGAACGGGAAUCUGCCAUGUGCCCGUGGAUUAAAAAAAAGAAACCCAGGCUGCUUUUCUGUCUGUUAGAAGGAGCCUGCACUUCAAGAUAGUGGGGAUGUAUAUUUUAAAAAAUUUCACGCUCAUGGGCCAAAGAUUUUCCCGGGGCUGUGUGCUGAUUUGCAGCCUAUCAUGUGUGGCUUUGGGACACUGGGGAAGGUGUGGAGCAGUUUAAGUGACAAACGGGUUGGAAAAGCAAAGGACACCAGGUGAGGAUGAUGGAAUUUACAUCCUGUUGCUUCCCUGAUAGUUCCUGCCAAUAUGGGAUCCCACUACUAUCUUUCUGCCCUAAAAAUAUGUGUAUAUUGAGAUAGAAACUGUUGUAAUGGCUGCAUGCAUUCAGUAGAGGAAAGGAGAGAAGAAAGAAGGAACAGAUUUAGUCCUGCCCAGAAUCUGCACUUCCACGGAGGACGCCAGGAUAUCACGGGAGAGACUGCAGCUCUGAUCAAAUGGGGCGAGCUCUUGGCAGGAGCCAGCAUGUUCCUGUGUUCCAUUUGGGAGGACAGUUUACUUUAAUGAUGUACUUUGAAAUCAGGUGGACGUCUGUAACUCCUGGACCUUUCGCAGCCUUUCCAGCCACGGUCAUCUCUGUGGAGUCAGGGGCAGGGACUUUGGGAUCAGCUUCUGCCCUUGUGAAAACAGCAGAGCAGCCUGAGAGCCAGGAAGGACCUCACCUGAGUAUCAGAUCACCUCAUCAGGCUGAAUUGUGUGGAUCUAGGGAUUUUAAAGAGGUGAUUAAGGUAAAAUGAGGUUAUUAGGGUGGCCCUUGACCCAGUGUGACUGGUAUCCUCAUAAGAGGAGAUUAGGACACAGCCACACAGAGGGACGACCACCUGAGGAUCCCUGAGAAGAUGGCAUCUGGAAGGUGAGGAGAGAGGCCUCAGAAGGAAUCAACUCUGCUGAUACUUGAUGCCAACUUCCAGCCUCUGAAACUGCGAGCAACGAUGCAGCGAUACGCG
This 1617-nucleotide long non-coding RNA is filed under the name Homo sapiens (human). RNAcentral's name for it is "HSALNT0299886". Lineage: Eukaryota; Metazoa; Chordata; Mammalia; Primates; Hominidae. The record is from RNAcentral.